This 490-nucleotide ribosomal RNA is filed under the name uncultured bacterium. RNAcentral describes it as "bacterial SSU rRNA". It matches the Rfam family "Bacterial small subunit ribosomal RNA", at positions 43 to 507 of the family's 1533-position model. The record is from RNAcentral.
CGCGCCUAACACAUGCAAGUCGAACGGAGCAUACGGGAGGAAGUUUUCGGAUGGAAUCCGGUAUUGCUUAGUGGCGGACGGGUGAGUAACACGUGAGCAACCUGCCUAUCAGAGGGGGAUAACGAUUGGAAACGAUCGCUAAUACCGCAUGACACAUCGAUGGGGCAUCCCGUUGAUGUCAAAGAUUUAUCGCUGAAAGAUGGCCUCGCGUCUGAUUAGAUAGUUGGCGGGGUAACGGCCCACCAAGCCGACGAUCAGUAGCCGGUCUGAGAGGAUGAACGGCCACACUGGAACUGAGACACGGUCCAGACUCCUACGGGAGGCAGCAGUGGGGAAUCUUCCGCAAUGGGCGAAAGCCUGACGGAGCAACGCCGCGUGAGUGAUGACGGCCUUCGGGUUGUAAAGCUCUGUGAUCGGGGACGAACGGUCAGCAUACGAAUACUCUGCUGAAUUGACGGUACCCGAAUAGCAAGCCACGGCUAACUACGUG